GUGCCAGCAGCCGCGGUAAGACAGAGGUGGCAAGCGUUGUUCGGAAUUACUGGGCUUAAAGGGCGCGUAGGUGUCCCGACAAGUCAGAUGUGGAAUCUUUUCGCUUAACGAAAAAACGGCAUCUGAAACUAUCGGGAUUGAGUCAGACAGGGGAUGGCGGAAUUCCCGGUGUAGCGGUGAAAUGCGUAGAUAUCGGGAGGAAGGCCGGUGGCGAAGGCGGCCAUCUGGGUCUGAACUGACACUGAGGCGCGAAAGCGUGGGUAGCAAACAGGAUUAGAUACCCUCGUAGUCC
Molecule: ribosomal RNA, 292 nt
Filed under: uncultured bacterium
Lineage: Bacteria
Description: partial 16S ribosomal RNA
Rfam family: Bacterial small subunit ribosomal RNA
Source: RNAcentral